AGACGGCUGCUGGAAUGCUCUGUCUCUGAAAGGUCUGCCGCCUGAGGAUGAGUCUGCGUCCGAUUAGGUUGUUGUUGGGGUAACGGCCCACCAAGCCUUUGAUCGGUACGGGUUGUGGUAGCAAGAGCCCGGAGAUGGAUUCUGAGACAUGAAUCCAGGCCCUACGGGGCGCAGCAGGCGCGAAAACUUUACAAUGCGAGCAAUCGUGAUAAGGAAACCCUGAGUGCCUGUUAUCACAGGCUGUUCUGGUGUCUAACCCACACCAGGAGAA
This 271-nucleotide ribosomal RNA is filed under the name uncultured archaeon. RNAcentral describes it as "partial 16S ribosomal RNA". It matches the Rfam family "Archaeal small subunit ribosomal RNA", at positions 161 to 437 of the family's 1478-position model. The record is from RNAcentral.